UACGGAGUGUGCAAGCGUUACUCGGAAUCACUGGGCAUAAAGCGCGCGUAGGCGGGCUUUCAAGUCGGUUGUGAAAUCCCUCAGCUCAACUGAGGAACUGCAUCCGAUACUGUUUGUCUUGAGGACGAGAAGGGAGAGUGGAACUUCUGGUGGAGCGGUGAAAUGCGUAGAUAUCAGAAGGAACGCCGGUGGCGAAAGCGACUCUCUGGCUCGUAUCUGACGCUGAGGCGCGAAAGCUUGGGUAGCAAACGGG
RNAcentral lists this ribosomal RNA (253 nucleotides) under uncultured bacterium. Its description in RNAcentral is "partial 16S ribosomal RNA". It matches the Rfam family "Bacterial small subunit ribosomal RNA", at positions 524 to 776 of the family's 1533-position model. The record is from RNAcentral.